Molecule: long non-coding RNA, 353 nt
Filed under: Setaria italica (foxtail millet)
Lineage: Eukaryota; Viridiplantae; Streptophyta; Magnoliopsida; Poales; Poaceae
Description: long non-coding RNA (SITA_LNC000495)
Source: RNAcentral
CCUUGAGCACAUGCAUCUCCUCUGCUAUGACCAUGAUGCAUCGAUGCUCAAGGUGGGCCCGUCCAUUGCCUUAACCAACAAACUGUUUUCCAUGAUCGGAACCAGCACAUCAACACCUGAUUACAUUUCAUCCUGGAGAGUGUUGAUAGGGGGAAGAUUGACCUCAAGCACCCCGCAGGCAUUUUCGCAAAGUCACUCACGCGCAUUAAGUUCCAUGAGCUACCUAUAGAAAUCAUGCCGUCGAGAUCACAGGCAAAAAACCGGAUUUCCGGGUGAACAUAUAUACUACAUGGUGUGUUGUAAUUGUUUACUUAUAGCUGUUUACAACUAGUUUUGCUAUGCAUAUUAUUCAC